This is a non-coding RNA of Caenorhabditis elegans, 116 nucleotides long. The record is from Ensembl. NCBI's taxonomy places the organism in Eukaryota, Metazoa, Nematoda, Chromadorea, Rhabditida, Rhabditidae.
UUUUUUAGGCUUAGGCUUAGGCUUAGGCCGAGGCUUCUACUUAGGGUUAGGCUUAAGGUUAGGCUUAGGAUUAGGCUUAUGUUUAAGCUUAGACUUGGGAUUAGGCUUAGGUUUAG